This 508-nucleotide ribosomal RNA is filed under the name uncultured bacterium. RNAcentral describes it as "partial 16S ribosomal RNA". It matches the Rfam family "Bacterial small subunit ribosomal RNA", at positions 28 to 523 of the family's 1533-position model. The record is from RNAcentral.
GACGAACGCUGGCGGCGCGCUUAACGCAUGCAAGUCGAGCGAGAACCAGUCCUUCGGGACUGGGGAAAGCGGCGAACGGGUGAGUAACACGUGGGUAAUCUGCCCUCGGCACUGGGAUAGCCCGGGGAAACCCGGAUUAAUACCGGAUAGCCUUUCGAGCCUUCGGGCUCGUCAGAAAAGGUGGCUUCGGCUUCCGGCUGAGGCUGAGCCCGCGGCGGAUUAGCUUGUUGGUGGGGUAAUGGCCUACCAAGGCGACGAUCCGUAGCUGGUCCGAGAGGACGAUCAGCCACACUGGGACUGAGACACGGCCCAGACUCCUACGGGAGGCAGCAGUGGGGAAUCUUGCGCAAUGGGCGAAAGCCUGACGCAGCGACGCCGCGUGCGGGAAGAAGGCCUUCGGGUUGUAAACCGCUUUCAGGAGGGACGAAGCCACUCGGGUUAAUAGCCCAGAGGGUGACGGUACCUCCAGAAGAAGCCCCGGCUAACUACGUGCCAGCAGCCGCCGUAA